RNAcentral lists this ribosomal RNA (301 nucleotides) under uncultured bacterium. RNAcentral's name for it is "partial 16S ribosomal RNA". It matches the Rfam family "Bacterial small subunit ribosomal RNA", at positions 509 to 807 of the family's 1533-position model. The record is from RNAcentral.
CAGUCGCCACGGUAAUACGUAGGUGGCAAGCGUUGUCCGGAAUUAUUGGGCGUAAAGGGCUCGCAGGCGGUUUCUUAAGUCUGAUGUGAAAGCCCCCGGCUCAACCGGGGAGGGUCAUUGGAAACUGGGAAACUUGAGUACAGAAGAGGAGAGUGGAAUUCCACGUGUAGCGGUGAAAUGCGUAGAGAUGUGGAGGAACACCAGUGGCGAAGGCGACUCUCUGGUCUGUAACUGACGCUGAGGAGCGAAAGCGUGGGGAGCGAACAGGAUUAGAUACCCCAGUAGUCCCUGUCUCUUAUAC